GCAUAUCAAUAAGCGGAGGAAAAGAAACCAACAGGGAUUGCCCUAGUAACGGCGAGUGAAGCGGCAACAGCUCAAAUUUGAAAUCUGGCUCUCUUUGGGGGUCCGAGUUGUAAUUUGCAGAGGAUGCUUUGGCAUUGGCGGCGGUCUAAGUUCCUUGGAACAGGACAUCGCAGAGGGUGAGAAUCCCGUACGUGGGCGCCUGCCUUUGCCGUGUAAAGCUCCUUCGACGAGUCGAGUUGUUUGGGAAUGCAGCUCUAAAUGGGAGGUAAAUUUCUUCUAAAGCUAAAUACCGGCCAGAGACCGAUAGCGCACAAGUAGAGUGAUCGAAAGAUGAAAAGUACUUUGGAAAGAGAGUCAAAAAGCACGUGAAAUUGUUGAAAGGGAAGCGCUUGCAGCCAGACUUGCCCGCAGUUGCUCACCUAGGCUUUGGCCUGGGGCACUCUUCUGCGGGCAGGCCAGCAUCAGUUUGGGCGGUCGGACAAAGGCCUCUGUCAAGUAUCUCCCUUCGGGGUGACCUUAUAGGGGAGGCGUAAUGCGACCAGCCCGGACUGAGGUCCGCGCAUCUGCUAGGAUGCUGGCGUAAUGGCUGUAAGCGGCCCGUCUUGAAACACGGACCAAGGAGUCUAACAUCUAUGCGAGUGUUUGGGUGUCAAGCCCGGGCGCGCAAUGAAAGUGAACGGAGGUGGGAACCCUUUGGGUGCACCAUCGACCGAUCCUGAUGUCUUCGGAUGGAUUUGAGUAAGAGCAUAGCUGUUGGGACCCGAAAGAUGGUGAACUAUGCUUGAAUAGGGUGAAGCCAGAGGAAACUCUGGUGGAGGCUCGCAGCGGUUCUGACGUGCAAAUCGAUCGUCAAAUUUGGGCAUAGGGGCGAAAGACUAAUCGAACCAUCUAGUAGCUGGUUCCUGCCGA
Molecule: ribosomal RNA, 909 nt
Filed under: Microsphaeropsis arundinis
Lineage: Eukaryota; Fungi; Ascomycota; Dothideomycetes; Pleosporales; Didymellaceae
Description: eukaryotic LSU rRNA
Rfam family: Eukaryotic large subunit ribosomal RNA
Source: RNAcentral